Molecule: ribosomal RNA, 506 nt
Filed under: uncultured bacterium
Lineage: Bacteria
Description: partial 16S ribosomal RNA
Rfam family: Bacterial small subunit ribosomal RNA
Source: RNAcentral
AUUGAACGCUGGCGGCAGGCCUAACACAUGCAAGUCGAACGGCAGCACAGAAGAGCUUGCUCUUUGGGUGGCGAGUGGCGGACGGGUGAGUAAUGUCUGGGAAACUGCCCGAUGGAGAGGGAUAACUACUGGAAACGGUAGCUAAUACCGCAUAACGUCGCAAGACCAAAGUGGGGGACCUUCGGGCCUCACACCAUCGGAUGUGCCCAGAUGGGAUUAGCUAGUAGGUGGGGUAAUGGCUCACCUAGGCGACGAUCCCUAGCUGGUCUGAGAGGAUGACCAGCCACACUGGAACUGAGACACGGUCCAGACUCCUACGGGAGGCAGCAGUGGGGAAUAUUGCACAAUGGGCGCAAGCCUGAUGCAGCCAUGCCGCGUGUAUGAAGAAGGCCUUCGGGUUGUAAAGUACUUUCAGCGGGGAGGAAGGCGGUGAGGUUAAUAACCUUGCCGAUUGACGUUACCCGCAGAAGAAGCACCGGCUAACUCCGUGCCAGCAGCCGCCGUAA